Molecule: ribosomal RNA, 309 nt
Filed under: uncultured bacterium
Lineage: Bacteria
Description: bacterial SSU rRNA
Rfam family: Bacterial small subunit ribosomal RNA
Source: RNAcentral
GACGAACGCUGGCGGCGGGCUUGAUACAUGCAAGUCGAACGAGAAGCUCUGGGCUUGCCCAGAGUGGAGAGUGGCGCACGGGUGAGUAACACGUAGGCAACCUACCCCUGAGAGUGGGAUAACCAUGGGAAACUGUGGCUAAUACCGCAUAUUGUCUUAGCAUCGCAUGAUGCUUGGAUGAAAACUCCGGUGCUCAGGGAUGGGCCUGCGGCGGAUUAGCUAGUUGGUAGGGUAACGGCCUACCAAGGCUACGAUCUGUAGCUGGUCUGAGAGGAUGAUCAGCCACACUGGCACUGAGACACGGGCCAG